CUACGUGCCAGCAGCCGCGGUAAUACGUAGGGGGCAAGCGUUAUCCGGAUUUACUGGGUGUAAAGGGAGCGCAGACGGCUUGGCAAGUCUGAAGUGAAAGCCCGGGGCUUAACCCCGGGACUGCUUUGGAAACUGUGAAGCUAGAGUGUCGGAGAGGUAAGUGGAAUUCCCAGUGUAGCGGUGAAAUGCGUAGAUAUUGGGAGGAACACCGGUGGCGAAGGCGGCUUACUGGACGAUAACUGACGUUGAGGCUCGAAGGCGUGGGGAGCAAACAGGAUUAGAUACCCUGGUAGUCCACGCGGUAAACGAUGGGUACUAGGUGUAGGAGGUAUCGACCCCUUCUGUGCCGGAGUUAACGCAAUAAGUACCCCGCCUGGGGAGUACGACCGCAAGGUUGAAACUCAAAGGAAUUGACGGGGGCCCGCACAAGCGGUGGAGUAUGUGGUUUAAUUCGAUGAUACGCGAGGAACCUUACCCGGGCUKAA
Molecule: ribosomal RNA, 485 nt
Filed under: uncultured bacterium
Lineage: Bacteria
Description: bacterial SSU rRNA
Rfam family: Bacterial small subunit ribosomal RNA
Source: RNAcentral